Molecule: ribosomal RNA, 253 nt
Filed under: uncultured bacterium
Lineage: Bacteria
Description: partial 16S ribosomal RNA
Rfam family: Bacterial small subunit ribosomal RNA
Source: RNAcentral
UACGGAGGAGGCAAGCGUUGUCCGGAAUUAUUGGGCGUAAAGCGUCCGUAGGUGGUUGACCAAGUCUGCUGUCAAAGGGUGGGGCUUAACCUCAUAAAGGCAGUGGAAACUGGUGAGCUAGAGUGCGGUAGGGGUAAGGGGAAUUCCCAGUGUAGCGGUGAAAUGCGUAGAGAUUGGGAAGAACAUCGGUGGCGAAAGCGCCUUGCUGGGCCGGCACUGACACUGAGGGACGAAAGCUUGGGGAGCGAAAGGG